GCAACUCUGAACCAGCCAUGCCGCGUGCAGGAUGACUGCCCUAUGGGUUGUAAACUGCUUUUGUCAGGGAAUAAACCUUUCUACGUGUAGAAAGCUGAAUGUACCUGAAGAAUAAGGAUCGGCUAACUCCGUGCCAGCAGCCGCGGUAAUACGGAGGAUCCAAGCGUUAUCCGGAUUUAUUGGGUUUAAAGGGUGCGUAGGCGGUCCUAUAAGUCAGUGGUGAAAGACGGCAGCUUAACUGUCGCACUGCCUUUGAUACUGUAGGACUUGAAUCUAUUUGAAGUGGGCGGAAUAAGACAAGUAGCGGUGAAAUGCAUAGAUAUGUCUUAGAACUCCGAUUGCGAAGGCAGCUCACUAAGUUAGUAUUGACGCUGAUGCACGAAAGCGUGGGGAUCAAACAGGAUUAGAUACCCUGGUAGUCCACGCCCUAAACGAUGAUAACUCGAUGUUUGC
Molecule: ribosomal RNA, 453 nt
Filed under: Sphingobacterium sp.
Lineage: Bacteria; Pseudomonadati; Bacteroidota; Sphingobacteriia; Sphingobacteriales; Sphingobacteriaceae
Description: bacterial SSU rRNA
Rfam family: Bacterial small subunit ribosomal RNA
Source: RNAcentral